UCUGAUAACACUAUUAGAGGGAACAUACCAU
This 31-nucleotide non-coding RNA is filed under the name Rattus norvegicus (Norway rat). The record is from RNAcentral. Lineage: Eukaryota; Metazoa; Chordata; Mammalia; Rodentia; Muridae.